CCAAACCCAAAUAUUUUCAUGAAUGUUACAGGUCAUUUUUGUUAAUGUGUAAGUACAUCAAACAUGUUCUAACAAGCAGGAAAAUUGUAGAAACAUUCAAAUGAUGAGCAGUUCCUAAUUCCUAUCAUGGAAUCACUGCAUGAUGCAUUGCACUGAGCACCUUCUGUGUGAUAUGGAGAUGGGCAGAGGCAAAGAUCAAGGAAUUAAAAUUCGAAAAGAAUAAAUAAGCUAUCAGUAAGCCAAUAGAAAUCAACACAGAAAAAAUAAAUAAGUUUACUUCAGUAGCCGAUAGGGAUCGACGCAUUUGGAGACAUAACUACCACAACAAAGAUUCCAUCGUUGUAAUAAUAGCCUUAGUGCUGAGUUAUACUCCUUAAAAUAUGUCUCGGGCAUUUUCUUCAAGUACCUUGUAGGCAACAAGAAUGACAAUGAUUCUAGGGAAUGAAAUUCUCUCGCACAUAAUCUGACUUGUAUUGUAAAUUCACCUAGCUGUAUGAAAAUCAAAACCAAUCAUUAAAUAGGUUAUCCAAAGAAUUGAUAAACAGACUUUAAGAGCGAAAGUGUUUUAACCUGAACUUCCAAGAAAUCAUCAAAGCAGAAGUGGCUUCCCUCCCAUCAAUAAACUUCCAGGUGAACAUGAGAAGCAUGACCAUGGAGAAUCAUACCUGAAUACCUUAAUAGAGAGUCAUAACUGUCCUGGCAAUAGCACAUCUCUUUGUCCCUCCUAUAUUCUUCAAUCACAUCAGAAUACUAAAAUUGACCAUAUAUCAUUUUCAAGAGAAUAAAAAUGAUCGAUCAAACAAUUGGUCUAAUUCAAAAGUUUGUGUCCUUCAUUCUCAUAAUCGUCAGUCUUCUUAACCAACUUAUUCUUGCAAUACAACAUCUUUCUCCCAGCCCUCAACCCCAUCCAUCUUCAUUCAUAACACCAUUUUUAACCCUCUUUUCAAAAUCAAUCAGGUGAAUAUUUGAGAGUAGUAAUUUGAUCUCCCUCCUUAUUGAUUAGUAGACAUAAUAUAACAUUAAAUCUUUCCAUGUGCAGUUGCUGGCAACCUCUGUCAUUUAGUGAAGAGGUGGUAGCUGUGGUGUCAGCAAAAAAAUUAAAAAUAAUAAUGCAUUGAUGUAUUGCAAGUUUCUUGAGACCAAUAUAAUAGCUUUGAAGAUUUCCUACACCAAUCCCGGCCUCAUGGCAUUCCAGACAGCCUAUGUAGAUGAAGCAAGUGCAACCAUAUCUUGUAAAAGAAAGAUAUAUCAGCUUCACAAAGGUACUCCUGAAAAUAUCUCAAUUAAAAAUACACAUCUCUCUAUGGUUCCACCUUCAUCAUAAUGUUACCGUCA
Molecule: long non-coding RNA, 1335 nt
Filed under: Triticum aestivum (bread wheat)
Lineage: Eukaryota; Viridiplantae; Streptophyta; Magnoliopsida; Poales; Poaceae
Description: long non-coding RNA (TAES_LNC028080)
Source: RNAcentral